Molecule: long non-coding RNA, 344 nt
Filed under: Heterocephalus glaber (naked mole-rat)
Lineage: Eukaryota; Metazoa; Chordata; Mammalia; Rodentia; Bathyergidae
Description: lncRNA (ENSHGLG00000044846.1)
Source: RNAcentral
UAGCAGAACUUGAAUUUCAACAGAGAAACUUAACAAUAACAACAACUACAACAACAACAAAAAUGUGUAUUUUAACAGCUCUACUGAAAUGCUGAAGACUUGAUCCUAUGCUUGGAAAUGGGGGAUAAAGUCAAUUGCAAGAGACAAAAAGAGCAGAGGCCUGGAAAAGGACUAUUCUACCGAACCUGGAAGGGAGAAGAUAAAUACAGCUGGACACAUGGAGGACAGAGCGCAUUUGUCUUCGUGUGGUGUUGAAGAAGUCUCGAUGCCCCAAUACCAUGCAGUCCUUGAAGUGUGGAAACUAAAUCCUGGGUCUCUCCAACACUCCCCAAUAGUAUUCUGAG